This 301-nucleotide ribosomal RNA is filed under the name uncultured bacterium. Its description in RNAcentral is "partial 16S ribosomal RNA". It matches the Rfam family "Bacterial small subunit ribosomal RNA", at positions 509 to 807 of the family's 1533-position model. The record is from RNAcentral.
CAGCAGCCACGGGAAUACGAAGGGGGCUAGCGUUGUUCGGAUUUACUGGGCGUAAAGGGCGCGUAGGCGGACUGAUAAGUCAGGGGUGAAAUCCCAAGGCUCAACCUUGGAACUGCCUUUGAUACUGUUUGUCUUGAGUUCGAGAGAGGUAAGUGGAACUGCGAGUGUAGAGGUGAAAUUCGUAGAUAUUCGCAAGAACACCAGUGGCGAAGGCGGCUUACUGGCUCGAAACUGACGCUGAGGCGCGAAAGCGUGGGGAGCAAACAGGAUUAGAGACCCCAGUAGUCCCUGUCUCUUAUAC